RNAcentral lists this ribosomal RNA (278 nucleotides) under uncultured bacterium. RNAcentral describes it as "partial 16S ribosomal RNA". It matches the Rfam family "Bacterial small subunit ribosomal RNA", at positions 511 to 788 of the family's 1533-position model. The record is from RNAcentral.
GCAGCCGCGGUAAUACAUAGGGGGCAAGCGUUGUCCGGAAUCACUGGGCGUAAAGGGAGCGUAGGCGGAAAUUUAAGUUAAGUGUGAAAGCCUGGGGCUUAACUCCAGAAAUGCACUUAAUACUGGAUAUCUAGAGUGUGGGAGAGGUAAGUGGAAUUCCUAGUGUAGCGGUAGAAUGCGUAGAGAUUAGGAGGAACACCAGAGGCGAAGGCGGCUUACUGGACCACAACUGACGCUGAGGCUCGAAAGCGUGGGGAGCAAACAGGAUUAGAUACCCC